UACGUAGGGUCCGAGCGUUGUCCGGAUUUAUUGGGCGUAAAGAGUUCGUAGGCGGUUCGUUAAGUCUGAUGUUAAAUAUCGGGGCUCAACCUCGGGAGUGCAUUGGAUACUGGCGGACUGGAGUGUGGUAGAGGUUAGUGGAAUUCCCAGUGUAGCGGUGAAAUGCGUAGAUAUUGGGAAGAACACCAGUGGCGUAGGCGACUAACUGGGCCUAACUGACGCUGAGGAACGAAAGCCAGGGGAGCGAAUGG
RNAcentral lists this ribosomal RNA (251 nucleotides) under uncultured bacterium. RNAcentral describes it as "partial 16S ribosomal RNA". It matches the Rfam family "Bacterial small subunit ribosomal RNA", at positions 524 to 775 of the family's 1533-position model. The record is from RNAcentral.